Molecule: transfer RNA, 72 nt
Filed under: Glarea lozoyensis 74030
Lineage: Eukaryota; Fungi; Ascomycota; Leotiomycetes; Helotiales; Helotiaceae
Also listed under: 1 other name
Description: tRNA-Gln (CTG) (tRNA-Gln-CTG-1-1)
Rfam family: tRNA
About the family: Transfer RNA (tRNA) molecules are approximately 80 nucleotides in length. Their secondary structure includes four short double-helical elements and three loops (D, anti-codon, and T loops). Further hydrogen bonds mediate the characteristic L-shaped molecular structure. tRNAs have two regions of fundamental functional importance: the anti-codon, which is responsible for specific mRNA codon recognition, and the 3' end, to which the tRNAs corresponding amino acid is attached (by aminoacyl-tRNA synthetases). tRNAs cope with the degeneracy of the genetic code in two manners: having more than one tRNA (with a specific anti-codon) for a particular amino acid; and 'wobble' base-pairing, i.e. permitting non-standard base-pairing at the 3rd anti-codon position.
Source: RNAcentral
GGUUCUAUAGUGUAGAGGUUAGCACGCAAGAUUCUGAUUCUUGAGUCCCCAGUUCGAGCCCGGGUAGAACCU